Molecule: non-coding RNA, 207 nt
Organism: Physcomitrium patens
Lineage: Eukaryota; Viridiplantae; Streptophyta; Bryopsida; Funariales; Funariaceae
Source: RefSeq, a predicted model, not a curated record
AACGUAAUGACAGGGACAGAGCGGUGGGACGGAGCGUGCUGGUCCACAGGCCGUUGAGGUUGCGGGGUUGAAGUUCGAGCAAGUUCGAGCAUCGGAGUGGUAAGGGCUGCAAUCAUGGUCCUCCGUGCGAGUGGCAGGUUUACAAGGCUUGUCUCCUAAACCUCCAUGGUUGGCGCGGGUUCUUUCUCCAGCACUCUUGGUGGCAAC